Molecule: non-coding RNA, 29 nt
Filed under: Mus musculus (house mouse)
Lineage: Eukaryota; Metazoa; Chordata; Mammalia; Rodentia; Muridae
Source: RNAcentral
UGGAACCCACCAUGGUACAGCCAUGCCUA